RNAcentral lists this transfer RNA (84 nucleotides) under Candidatus Bathyarchaeota archaeon. RNAcentral describes it as "tRNA-Ser". Lineage: Archaea; Thermoproteati; Candidatus Bathyarchaeota. The record is from RNAcentral.
GUAGGGAGCAGACCAGCAUAGAGAGGGCUCAAGCCUGGAGAGCCUGUGGCCCACGCGUGGGUUCAAAUCCCACCCCCGGCGCCA